Molecule: ribosomal RNA, 497 nt
Filed under: uncultured bacterium
Lineage: Bacteria
Description: partial 16S ribosomal RNA
Rfam family: Bacterial small subunit ribosomal RNA
Source: RNAcentral
GAUGAACGCUGGCGGCGUGCCUAAUACAUGCAAGUUGAGCGAACGGACGAGAAGCUUGCUUCUCUGAUGUUAGCGGCGGACGGGCGAGUAACACGUGGAUAACCUACCUAUAAGACUGGGAUAACUUCGGGAAACCGUAGCUAAUACCGGAUAAUAUUUUGAACCGCAUGGUUCAAAAGUGAAAGACGGUCUUGCUGUCACUUAUAGAUGGAUCCGCGCUGCAUUAGCUAGUUGGUAAGGUAACGGCUUACCAAGGCAACGAUGCAUAGCCGACCUGAGAGGGUGAUCGGCCACACUGGAACUGAGACACGGUCCAGACUCCUACGGGAGGCAGCAGUAGGGAAUCUUCCGCAAUGGGCGAAAGCCUGACGGAGCAACGCCGCGUGAGUGAUGAAGGUCUUCGGAUCGUAAAACUCUGUUAUUAGGGAAGAACAUAUGUGUAAGUAACUGUGCACAUCUUGACGGUACCUAAUCAGAAAGCCACGGCUAACUACGUG